This 147-nucleotide unclassified non-coding RNA is filed under the name uncultured Helotiales. RNAcentral's name for it is "sequence contains ITS2". The record is from RNAcentral. Lineage: Eukaryota; Fungi; Ascomycota; Leotiomycetes; Helotiales.
CAACCCUCAAGCACUGCUUGGUAUUGGGCUCCGCUGGCUCCAGCGGGCCUUAAAAUCAGUGGCGGCGCCGUUUGGGCUCUGAGCGUAGUAAAUAUCCUCGCUAUAGAGACCAGGCGGUUCUUGUCAUCAACCCCCAACUUUCUAAGU